UCCUUUUUCUUUUUAAAACUAAAUCUACAGAGACAAGCCUCCCUUCCCUUGUUAUUUCCGAUAUCCUCUUCUUAAAGUCCGUCACUGUUUCUAUCUAACCAACACGAUCACAAAGGGUCCCGAUCGCGGAUUCAAUUUCUUUCUAUGCAACCAUUAAUAGUUCAGAGUAUCGCAAAGAGUACGAAGCGAGGUUGAGGCAGUAAGCUUGGGAAGAGCUUGCAGCCAUGAGCUUGAGCAAAAGUUGGUAUUUUUGCUUUGUCUAUAAUGUGUAUAUCACGGGGCUAUCUGGGUUGUUUUAAAUUUCUUGCUUGACCCAUGCUUUUGUAGUGCAUUUUGCUGUGUAUAUUGUAAUGGGAUCUUAUGCAAAGUUUUUAAAUAGUUUGUCUGGAACCGUAGUUGUGUUUAAAGGUCUUAUAUUUUUUGGGCAUA
Long non-coding RNA from Papaver somniferum (opium poppy), 429 nucleotides. RefSeq lists it as uncharacterized. The transcript is spliced from 2 exons. The record is from RefSeq and is a predicted model, not a curated record. NCBI's taxonomy places the organism in Eukaryota, Viridiplantae, Streptophyta, Magnoliopsida, Ranunculales, Papaveraceae.